GGAGAAGAUGAUCUGCUGGAUCCUGCUGCUCAUCAACCUGACCUCCUGUGUCUGUGGAACAUUUGUAGUGAAUGUGACACAGACCUCCUAUCAGGCAGAGGAGAACCAUAACAUCACACUGGAAUGGACGUUCACAACCAACACUGACAGUUCCCUCAACUCUCUUUCUGUCUACUGUCUACUGAUUACUGAUCACAAGGUUUCAGUCCUGUAUCAUCUACAUGAUGGUGUUGAGAUCUCAGAGUCUCAGGAUGAACAGUUUAAAGGACGAGUCCAGUGUGACAAAGACGUCCUCAAAGAAGGACGAAUCAGACUUCAUGUGUCCAGACUCAGGACUGAAGACUCGGGUCGGUACCGGUGUAAAGUGAAAACAACUUAUGGUGACAACGUUGGUGAAUGUCGACUCAAUGUCACUGCAGCUGCUGAUGGGCCCAAACCUCAGAGACCAGAGAGUCCACAACCAGAGAGUCCACAACCAGAGAGUCGGGGAAGGAUCGGUCUCUAUGUUGGACUGGGACUGACAGCAGCUCUACUGGCUGUCUGUGUCGUAUUCUGCUCUGCCUCCUGUCACUGUAUGACUAAAUCUGCUGAUAAGAAAUGAAUCAUCUCUGCAGCUGUACAGAUGUUGACACAACCCAUCAGGACUUACAGGACUCUGUUUGGAGGACCCUCUUUCUGUCACAAUGAGCCAUCAGACUGUUUAAGACCUGACUGAUGAAACCAACAGACUCUGAGACUCUCUACCUUCAACAUCUGUUUUAAGUCUCUUCUUAAAAUGCACUUUUACAGUCUUGUCUUCUGGCGGUCCUUUUUCUAACCUUUUAUUCACUGUGGUUUUAUUGUUGUUUUUAAUUGUUUUAUCUUUUUUUAUUUAGUGAUUGAUAAUGUUUACUUUGUUUAUUUUAUAUGUUGUUACCGAUGCUGCUAUGGUUCUUAGUGUGAACCCAGUUUACAUUAUUAUUAUUAAGAUAAUUAUCUUAAUUCAUUCGUUCUGAUGGACACUGUUACAAUGCACUGACUUUAUACUGUUUAUAAUGUGUGUAUAUAUUGUAAAUAAAUCUCUAUUUAUAUGAAAGAAGUCUUUUAAUAGUCUUUAAUAAACAUAUUGUAUUGUAUAUAUUUCCUAUUGAAUGCAGUGAUUGUACAUGUAUAUGUGAAUGUGUUUGCCUUCCUCCAGGCAGUCCAUUGAAACUUGAGUCAGAGCAUCCAUCACAGUGAACAUCAUGUCUCAUCAUGUGUUCUACUGUAGCUGUCAGAGCUGUGCUGCUGCAGUUCAAAGUGCACAUUGAUUAGAAAAGUAUCCACUGCACCAUGAUCCAACAAGAACUAAAGUGACACAUUAAUAACAGACAGUAUGUGGAGCAUGUUAAAGUCUCUGCAUGCUGAUUUAAAGUGAAGUAGAAUGAAAGCAGCAGCAGCCUGGAGGAGAAGACAAACACAUUCAACAAGUAGACAUCUAAGGAAGCAACAAAGGUCCACCUAGUGGUGAACAAAUAUACAGCAGAACCAAGUGGGCGUAACUUCCUGCCUCAGUGAGUUUCAGUUCUCAUUGUUGUCAAUGUUUUCUGAGUAUUUUAUUACUUUACCGAAUAAAACCGAAGAAUAAAUAUUUUUUCCAUUAGGCAGCAACAUAAACACUGUCUGCAUAUAAGGGAAAGACAACUGUAAAUAAACAAUAACAAUCACAGUAACAAAACAAAUAACUGUGGUCAUGAAGCUGAUCAUCUUCUUCCUCAUCUGACAGCUCGCUGCUAUUCAACUGUUAACUAAUCAUUAGAUUGAUAGUCAGCAGUGUUUGAGUUGUGUUCAGGGUUCAUGUACUGUUGGUUCAACAUGUGUUUCUUUCUACUGUGACACAGAUUAGAAAAUGGUUGAACAUGAUGGUUUGGUACAGCUGUCCAGUUGAGACUUGGGUAAAACAAAAUACAAAUAUGCUUAUAUAUGUAAUUACCAUGAAUUCAUUCAUGCAAAUUCAAUAAACAUAGUAAAGUAAUUCACAAACUAAAUCUCAUUUUACAUUCUUCCCUUUGUUCAGAUGAAAAGCUGCUGCUGUCUGUUCCGUUACUCCAGCCUUUGAGUUUUUAACUUUAACUUCUUAACUUUUAUUCUCUUUUUGUUCGUUCUUAUUUGUUCACUGUAACUCUAUGAAGUCCUGUCCUCUCUAGCGAUGUUGUUUGACAGAGUCUUUGUGUUUUCUUUCGUGUUUUAAUGCCGCUUCCACCGGGACACGCUGCCGUAUGAUGGCACUAACGGCGGUCGGUACAGUGGACAGAGCCGCUGAUUUACCGGCUGAACUCUGGAGGAAACACACCGGGGAUGAAGAGGAGGGAAGCAACGUGGGGGGAAGAGAGGAGGGUGGAGACGGGACGGCUUUAUGGAGAAGAUUGAAGCGGUCUCUUAACGCGGAGCCACGCAGAGUACCGGGAGUCUGAUGUGUUUCACUGAGACAGGACUGCACAGGGACAUUACGGACCACAACGUCUCUGUCGAUGGCUUCCACACACACACACACACACACACACACAUAUGGAGUAUAUGUAACGAAAGUAAUUUCUCCCUGGGAUUAUUCUGAUUGUGAUUUCAAGAGUUAUGAGAAAUAAAUCUGAUUUAAACUAACAUUUAGUGUUGAAACAGACAGUUAACAUAUUGUUGCUGGUUGAGGGAACACAGACAGGAGACACAAUGGCGGUUUGUUCUUUAUUUUACUUUCAUUCAGACUCCCUCCCUCCUUCAGUUCACUUCUUUCUGAUGAUGGCUGUACAAUCGGGUAAUCUAGGCUGGGGGCUGUGGCUCAGAGGAAGAGUGGGUCUGCAUACCGAACCACGUUCACAAAUCGGAAGGUUUGCGGUUCGAGCCUGCAAAUUGUACUGCAGUUUCAGUUCUCUGUACAGCGAACUGAAACUGCAGCCGUCAUAGGAAGUGAACUGAUCUGAACUCUACAGCAGUGCGGGUUGGUCUGGGAACAUUCUCUCUGCCUCAUGCAGGCUGAGUGAGUGAGACUGCUAUAAAUAGAGGUGGGGAAGCCAAACUUCUAGCAAAUCCCCAACCAUUUAUAAAUAUGAUCUCUCUACAGCACGUUGGUGGCCAGCAGUUUAAACUGCAGCAGGGGGAAUUCACUGUAUCAAACUACAUAGUUUUACUAUUAGAGUUCUGUUGAUAUCUAACCUACACACUGCUCUUUACUUCAUGUGGACAUGAAUAUAUAUAUAUACAGUGUGGGUUUCCAGAUUAAAAGCGUUCAAUCAUUUCUGUGGAUUAGGUUGUUCUUGUAUUGUAUUUAUCAAAGACAGAGGACUUGUGUUGGUAAAGACAUGGUCAAGCAUGUCAUAUUUGUACCCAUCACUGUUCUCUGUAUCAAAGGGUUGGAUGGACUUACUGUCAACUAGAAAUAUCCAUCCCAUGUUAUUCAUUUAUAAAGCUCUACUGUUCUAAAGCUUCCAAACUACCUUACAUCACUACUGUCAUUAUAACGAUCCAGUAACUACCUAACCUUCCACAUCCCUCGUUAGCACUAAUAAUGCCACAUCUGGUUUCUUGUCCUUAUAAACUAUAUAAACAGUUUAAAACUAAAUGGUAAGCCUGAAAUGAUAUCAGACCUGAUCAAAUGAAUUUGUAUUUCACAAUAUAUAUCCAUCAUUAUUUCUUCCAGACAUUGAUCUGAGUACUGUAGAUAGCCUGUAGCUCCAUUAGAAGACCUCCUACUUUUGAGUGUUUUUAAUACAUAUAAAUAAU
Molecule: long non-coding RNA, 3732 nt
Organism: Dicentrarchus labrax (European seabass)
Lineage: Eukaryota; Metazoa; Chordata; Actinopteri; Moronidae
Source: Ensembl